This 817-nucleotide ribosomal RNA is filed under the name Bacillus sp. (in: firmicutes). RNAcentral's name for it is "bacterial SSU rRNA". It matches the Rfam family "Bacterial small subunit ribosomal RNA", at positions 639 to 1438 of the family's 1533-position model. Lineage: Bacteria; Bacillati; Bacillota; Bacilli; Caryophanales; Bacillaceae. The record is from RNAcentral.
ACUUUGAGUGUCAGAAGAGGAAAGUGGUAAUUUCCAUGUGUAGCGGUGAAAUUGCGUAGAGAUAUGGGAGGGAACACCAGUGGGCGAAGGGCGACUUUCUGGGUCUGUAACUGACACUGAGGCGCGAAAAGCGUGGGGAGCAAACAGGGACUUAGAUAGCCCUGGUAGUAUCAUCGCCGUAAACGAUGAGUGACUACAGUGUUAGAGGAGUUUCCGCCCUUUUAGUGCUGAGUGUUAACGCAUUAAGCACUCCGCCUGGGGAGUACGGCCGCAAGGCUGAAACUCAAAGGAAUUGACGGGGGCCCGCACAAGCGGUGGAGCAUGUGGUAUAAUUCGAAGCAACGCGAAGAACCUUACCAGGUCUUGACAUCCUCUGACAACCCUAGAGAUAGGGCUUCUCCUUCGGGAGCAGAGUGACAGGUGGUGCAUGGUUGUCGUCAGCUCGUGUCGUGAGAUGUUGGGUUAAGUCCCGCAACGAGCGCAACCCUUGAUCUUAGUUGCCAUCAUUAAGUUGGGCACUUUAAGGUGACUGCCGGUGACAAACCGGAGGAAGGUGGGGAUGACGUCAAAUCAUCAUGCCCCUUAUGACCUGGGCUACACACGUGCUACAAUGGACGGUACAAAGAGCUGCAAGACCGCGAGGUGGAGCUAAUCUCAUAAAACCGUUCUCAGUUCGGAUUGUAGGCUGCAACUCGCCUACAUGAAGCUGGAAUCGCUAGUAAUCGCGGAUCAGCAUGCCGCGGUGAAUACGUUCCCGGGCCUUGUACACACCGCCCGUCACACCACGAGAGUUUGUAAACCCAAGUCGGUGGGGUAA